Molecule: small RNA, 37 nt
Filed under: Bombyx mori (domestic silkworm)
Lineage: Eukaryota; Metazoa; Arthropoda; Insecta; Lepidoptera; Bombycidae
Description: ovarian small RNA-16329
Source: RNAcentral
GCACCUGAAAUCAUUUUGCUUUUUGUAGUGUUCAUCA